This is a long non-coding RNA of Ficedula albicollis (Collared flycatcher), 1124 nucleotides long. RefSeq lists it as uncharacterized. The transcript is spliced from 2 exons. NCBI's taxonomy places the organism in Eukaryota, Metazoa, Chordata, Aves, Passeriformes, Muscicapidae. The record is from RefSeq and is a predicted model, not a curated record.
GGUAGAUGCUCAAAACAGGCUUAUUUCACCUAAAUAAGCCAACAUUCAAAACAAAGGUAGCAGUGCUUCCACUUCAGUGUGGCUCUCCAAGGCUCCACUGACCAAGGUUUGUGUAGUUCCCUGGGUACACAAAAUACUAGUUUUGUACCUCAUUAUCCAAAAAUAGCAGUUUAACAUUAUCUCCACACACAAUGUGUAAAUAUAUAUGUGAACACUACAGCAUGCCUCUACACACAGCUCCUCGGUACAGCAUGACAGUGCAUGGCAGAAUCAAGUUGUAUUCAAAACUUUAUGAAAAAGCCAAAAGAAAAGGCUCACAAAAUCCAGACUGUCUGAAGACAAGCCCUGCCUCCCUGAUGCUGACACAGGGUUUCUGCAGCUGUAAUACACAGACCUUUCACUUUUAAUUAAGCAGAUGCAAUUUUUCUGUUGUUUCUGUCUCAUAUAUAAUUUGUACCCACAGGACAGAUUCCCAAAUGUAACAUUUUCUGUAUUUUGAAAAAAAAAUAUAAUUGAAAUUUAAAACACUGGAGGGAAUAUGAGAUGUAGGGAAACAGCAGUCUUUAAUUGGUUGAUAUUAGGAACAGUAUUUGAAAAUCUGAAGUACAAAAAUCUUGUCUCUUUUCAACAGAGCUAGAGUAUUUCAUCAAACUUAUCUGCAUUCAGCCAAGGUAAAUGGCAGGUCAGGAGGCAAUGGAAAAACAACUCUGCUUCCCAAGAAGCCAAAACAACUUACUUCAUUGUAGAGCAUGUGGCCAUGAGAAGGGUAUAAAAACUGGAAACAAAUAUCAAGGUUUCUGCUCAUGAAUUAACCUGCUAAUUUUUAAAAUUCCUGAUAAGCAAUCCUGCUGCCUAGACAACGGCUCAUGGGACUGUGGAGGAAACUGUCUGGGUAAUGGUAUAAUCUCUUUCUGGUUUACAGCAUAUUUUAUUUUCUACUUUGUUUGGGAGAAAAGUACUGGUCCAAGAAAACAGAGAGAUCAAUUUACACAGCACAUUGGAGAAAUGCAAGCUUACUAGACUUUUUUGAGUGUGGCAUGUUUUUCUCACCAAAUCUUGAAAUCUGUCUUAAAAACAAACAUAUUUCAGUGUGUGCAGCUUCUUUGUUUCUCUUUUCAUAAAGU